This 255-nucleotide ribosomal RNA is filed under the name Vibrio parahaemolyticus. RNAcentral describes it as "partial 23S ribosomal RNA". It matches the Rfam family "Bacterial large subunit ribosomal RNA", at positions 592 to 849 of the family's 2925-position model. The record is from RNAcentral. Lineage: Bacteria; Pseudomonadati; Pseudomonadota; Gammaproteobacteria; Vibrionales; Vibrionaceae.
UGUGACUGCGUACCUUUUGUAUAAUGGGUCAGCGACUUAUAUUCAGUGGCAAGGUUAACCAUCUAGGGGAGCCGUAGGGAAACCGAGUCUUAACUGGGCGUUCAGUCUCUGGAUAUAGACCCGAAACCAGGUGAUCUAGCCAUGGGCAGGUUGAAGGUUGAGUAACAUCAACUGGAGGACCGAACCGACUAAUGUUGAAAAAUUAGCGGAUGACUUGUGGCUAGGGGUGAAAGGCCAAUCAAACCUGGAGAUAGC